GCAUGUCCUAAUUGGCCGUGUGGGAGGAAGGAAUGUGUGUGGAAGAUAAGAUGCUGUGAUGCCAUUGUUUUAUCUCGUUUGCAUUGGAGUGUAAAGUACCUGUAAUUGCAGUGUGUGAGAAAGUUUAUUUUGUGAAAAUAUCGGUAAAUAAAAUUUGUAUACUGCCGCUUUGAAGUUGCACGUAAUCGCAUUUGCAGAAGAGCACGGAAAUCGGGCCGCGGAAAGAGAAUUUUCAGUAAGUGAAAAACGUGUAUGUGACUGGCGAAAACAAAAAGACAACUUGAAUAACAUGUGACGACAGCGGCGACUAAGAUGACGUUGACGUCCCGGCAAAUUAAUCUGAUGCAUCAGAAUCUAGUUCAGACAAUGAAUAGAUAAGUUGUGAGCAGCUGUGGUCACCGCCAUUCAGAUGCUUACAGCACGCAUGAAUGUGAAUACAUAGCUAUCCCAGCCUGGCGUAGCAAGGCCGGAAGGGCGGCCGGAGUCAAGCAAACCAGACUCGCACUGAAGGCUACCCCAGGGGUGGCCUGGUGGGGUCCAACACUGCCUCACUUACUGAGCAGCUUUAACAGUGCUCAGCUGGAAUGAAGACUUCUUGCUGAUCAUCUGACAUGAUUGGACCAGAAAACUCAUGGCUGAUGAGUUAAAGGAAGAGUGAUUCAACCAAGCCAGCAUCAAGUGAGACAGUGCAACAACACCAGCCAACUUCACCUGCUCGAAUCAACAUAACUACUUUAACAUUGAUGAUGAUCUGUUUUCCUGCGAGCCGUAUUUACUCCGAUUUUUAAUUUACGUUUCAACAUUGCCAGAAUUAAAAGUGACAAACUGUUGGAAAACUUCACAUUCAUUUGAGUGCUACACUACUUUAUUGCUGGGGGAGUUGUUUUACCUGAUUUAAUGGCUGCAUGAAUUUAUUAAUGUGUGAGAUUGUGGCAGUGAAUCCCUGGAAUCUUUAACCAUUAUUUAAAUCUUUUUUUAUAUAUUUUAGAGUCGCAACAUCUGUUUCAUCAUAGAUACAUACAUAAAGUACGCUUCUACUGUAUUACAUGGUGUUAGAUUAAUCACGACUAUUGAUUUAUACGCCAUUAAAACUAUGACGUUUACUUCUUUUAAUGGCCAUCAAAUGGUGUGUCUACAUUAUGCGGUGUUGUAGUCCAUGGUUGUUGACAUUUAUUUAUUUUUUCCCACUUCUGGUACGUGUGACAAAAUUAAUAAAAAUAACAUUUUGAUUUCAAGUUUUAAAUGACAAAUAUGCCAUGUUUUGAAUCGUUCACAAGAUUUUUCCGUCACUGUUUAGACAGACAGUAGCAAAAAAAAACUUUGAAUACUUGUUGCAUGGUUAAAAGGUUGCUUACUGUUAGGGAUAAAACCGAAAUAACACUGAAUAGCUUGUCAUAACACCACAUAACACCAAAAUGCUAGU
Molecule: long non-coding RNA, 1423 nt
Organism: Bacillus rossius redtenbacheri
Lineage: Eukaryota; Metazoa; Arthropoda; Insecta; Phasmatodea; Bacillidae
Exons: 3
Source: RefSeq, a predicted model, not a curated record